RNAcentral lists this ribosomal RNA (465 nucleotides) under uncultured bacterium. Its description in RNAcentral is "bacterial SSU rRNA". It matches the Rfam family "Bacterial small subunit ribosomal RNA", at positions 338 to 795 of the family's 1533-position model. The record is from RNAcentral.
CCUACGGGUGGCAGCAGUGGGGAAUCUUGGGCAAUGGGCGAAAGCCUGACCCAGCCAUGCCGCGUGUGCGAAGAAGGCCUUCGGGUUGUAAAGCACUUUCAGUGGUAAAGAAAAGCCAGGAGCUAAUACCCCCUGGUCUUGACGUUAGCCACAGAAGAAGCACCGGCUAACUCCGUGCCAGCAGCCGCGGUAAUACGGAGGGUGCAAACGUUAAUCGGAAUUACUGGGCGUAAAGCGCGCGUAGGCGGUUCGGUAAGUGGGAUGUGAAAGCCCUGGGCUUAACCUGGGAACUGCAUUCCAAACUGCCGGGCUAGAGUAUGGUAGAGGGAGGUAGAAUUUCCUGUGUAGCGGUGAAAUGCGUAGAUAUAGGAAGGAAUACCAGUGGCGAAGGCGGCCUCCUGGACCAAUACUGACGCUGAGGUGCGAAAGCGUGGGGAGCAAACAGGAUUAGAUACCCUAGUAGUC